CCGUUUCUGCUUUCGGCGGUUAUCUCUCCUUGGGGGUUGACGGACUUUAUUGAAAUUUCUUUUCUUGUCUACGUCCCUGGAUAUGACCCCGUUUACGACCAUGACCAUGGCCCUUUUCAUGUUUGGCAUAAUGACAGUGCACCUUAUCUGCUUCAGGCAGUGGUGUAGACCCAAUGGGUCGAUUUUCGUGAUUUCUCAUGAACAGGUCAUUAUUUCGCUCAGCCACUAGUAGAAGAG
This 237-nucleotide long non-coding RNA is filed under the name Nicotiana benthamiana. RNAcentral's name for it is "long non-coding RNA (NBEN_LNC001046)". Lineage: Eukaryota; Viridiplantae; Streptophyta; Magnoliopsida; Solanales; Solanaceae. The record is from RNAcentral.